UCAUUUUCGUACAAUCUUCUUCGUGGUAAAAAAAUAUGAGUAAUUUAAUUUUUUUUAACAUCCGUUAAGCAAACAGUUUGUUGAGUGUUAACAAAGGUCAAUAACUCUAUAUAAUAAUACGAUCCUUUUCACGUGGUUUCCUAUAUCACCCUAACCAGUUUCCGUGUUAUCAAAAGCCUCUAAAAUAACAUUAAGAAAACAGUGCGUAAUUUAACUUAUACAAAAGCAGGCUUUUGCCAUUACAUAUUUCUAUGCAACUGUGUGUUGAACGGUCUUGACACGGAGAAUGCCCGCACCAACGGGCGCACACACUCUCACUGAGCCGUUCGAGUUGUGCGCGCGUGUGACACGAGAGAACGAGAGAGAGAGAGAGAGAGCGAGCGAAAUAAUUGCGGAGAGCCCACAUGUAACGGCGGGAGAAGUAACACAGCUGAACCAACACACCAAAGCCCGUCAUAUGAUGAGCGCGGGGCAAAAAAGGGGGCAACAGAAACAACAAAAAAAAAAACACGCGCCCGUCGAGCAGAGGCGAGCAGUUCCGAAGAAACGCCGAAGACACACAAAACAUUCUCAGAAAGACAGGUAUCGAGUGCAGUCAUAGUUCCGUGCAGCUCUUCACUGUUGGAUUUGGUGGUUCGCAUUCCCCUCAAAACCAGGCAGGCAAAUAGCAGCUACUAUACCGACACACCGGAUCAAGGGACCAUAUAUUCUCGCUGAACGCAUAAUCGAGUGUGUCAAAAUCCGCUGAUUGAAAAACGUUGGUGCCCACGGGAGAACGUACGUACAAACGGUGUGUCCGCGCCGUGUGUGGUGCAAAGUGCUGUAAUUAGUUCCGUUACUGGGUGUGCUUCUCUUUUGUGGCCGCCAUGGCGCAACAACUCUGCAACAGUUUCAGUACGAUGGUGACGAAUUUACAAAACCAACCAGCGAGGUGAAGAAUGUGUGUAACUGGUAUGUUAAAAUUGGACUUUGGACUUCCCCCCAUGAACUGCCUGAUAUGCGCAGAGUAUUAGUGCGUUUCAAACCAAAAAAAAGAAACAGUGUCCCCUAGUGCGUCGGAAUGCCUGCGGAAUCUGCGAACGGUUUGCGUUUUCGUCUUGAGGGUGUAAUUGGUCUAGAAAUUUCGGGUGAGCGUGCCACAGUAGGCUGUGAAUUUUACGAGCAACAAGAUCUAUGCUUUCCCCCAUCCCUUUCACUCGUUAGGCAAAGAAAUGGCUAAAUGUGGCUACCCAACAUUACCUGCAACAUUGGAAACCAUUCGGUGAAAUUAAUUUGGAAUCGUUUUUGGCAAAGUGUUUUGUUAGUUAUUUGCUGUGCAGCAGUACAUCACUGGAUCGAAAAGAAAAUGGUGAAACUUCUUACUGUGCGCCACUGCGCACACGAUCACGGGAAACGUCACGAAUAAGGUGGUGGUGUGUGGGGGGCGGGUUAAAAAUGUGCCGCCAGAAGCUACUUGGCGAUUCGUUCGAUUUUUCUCUCUGCACUUUUCGACGAACUGGCCCGAAUCUAAUUGAAGUUAAUUGAAAGCUUGACUCUUGGAUUGAACGCGGUCUCGCGUCAUCAUCCCCGUCCAGUGCGACAUUCUGGACAGCAACACCCCGCACCAGAUGGAACAAAAUGGAAGAGGUGGAACCGCGCGCGCGUCACCAGCAUUGUUCGUGUGCAAUACCACAAAACGACUGUAUUUUUCGGCAGAGGGCAUGUGUGUGGUGUUUGGCUUACACCACACUACCAAACGGUUCUAUACAUAAAAAACGGGUCGUGCGUACGUAAACUUCCUCCUGGCAGGCUGCAGGGAAGAGGGGGUUAGACCGCGUUCAGUUGAUUCCCGCGUCCAUCUCCAUCUUGUGCCCGUAUAUCUAUUAGCACGAGGUUAGGAGGGUUUCGUCGUUUCCUCACCGUUUGCUUCGAUGUGAUAUGUCGCAAGCUUAAAGGCUGCUCUCGAGAGCAUGGAACAAAAACUUGUCCCAAUGCGAAAAGACGACUUGGGGGUUACCACACCGCAGUAUUGUACGAUACACUGUGCGAGUACUGCGCAGUGUUUUGCUAGCCAAAGGUAGCUGCGCAGAAGGCGUAGAAUUGUUGUACGUAAUGCUGUGAUCUAUUGAAACUGCCUUGUCCUCUCUAGUAGUGAGAAUAUCGUUUGAGGGAAAUUUUUGAGUGCGCAUCGUGCAAACAAAAUGUGGUGCUAAUACAGUGUGCAAAGCAAAAGACCACUUCCGGGGAACAAAAAGUUGGUGACCGUGAGUUUUUUUUUCGUUCGGGACAUCUAUCAAAAUUUCAGCUCGCAAAUCGAGUAGGCAACGUCUGGUUCUGGUUGUACCGAAGCUUUAAAGUUGGAGAAUUGUGUUGUGUGAUGGAUUGUCAGUUGACGAUUCAAAGACCAAUUUCUGGUGUUACUGGAGUCGGAAACAUAUAAAUUCACAAAAAAUAGGAAUGAUUUAACUGUAUCUUUAAUAUUUACUAAUAACGAGUUUGAAGUUAUGUAGAACAAUAUUUAAUCAUUACCCUUUAUUAUUUUCUUUCAGAUGGAUUAAUUGCACUUGCAUCGAAUAGAGAACGAGUGCCGGACGAAAAAAUUGCAAUGAGGCCCAUUAGAACGCAAUUUUUAAAAGGAAAACCCAACGCCGCCGCCGACACGAGCCGUACGUGACAGCCAGCUGGCGCUAGGUCGUCCUGGUUUGCUCUGCAGUUAAUAACAAUCGUGCUCGUUGUGAAACGGCAGCAGCCGCAGCAGCCAUUAUCUACACAGCAGCAUCCCUCCAUACUUGUGUUCCAAUGAUGCCAUCGGGAUCAUCAAUUCUCUCGCUCGCCGAUUGGGAGCGCACCCCCCUUGGAAAAAGAGAGGAGAACUCGAGCAAACUAUAUCCGGUACGAAGGCAACUUUUGUAGGAAAGAACGCCCCGACGGAUUUAAAUGAGUUUCGUCCCACUUCUUGGAGGCGAUGAUGAACAUGAUGGUUUAACGAGGACAAUGCUGUUCCACACAAAUGCUGUUCUUUCAUGCCACAAAAGUGUUCACUGGGCGGGAUAGGCAUGAAUGGAUCACGCAGACUUCACCAGCAUCUUUUUGCCAUCUAAUCAGCUCGUGGAUCGUGGAGGUUUGAGUGUGAUGUUUGUGUACAUGAGUUUCUUAACCUUUUCGAUAACCUUCAAUCUACUGUAGAUUAAUUUUUUUCCAGCGUUUAAUGUUUUGCCUGUACGCGGACUGAGAAUGGUUUUUUCUUCUUGAUGGAUUAGCUUUAUGUUCUACAGAUGUUUCGUAAUAUAUCACUGUUAGUUGGUGAAUGCUAGAAAAUGAUUCCUUCACUAUCAACAUUUAGAUUGAAUUUCUUGCUGCAUGACUUGUUAAUACAGUGAAUAGAAGCUGUACUAUAAGAGUUGGGGCACCGGUGGUGCAUGUGAUAAACGGCAAAGGUUCCACACGGCAGGACCGGGUUCAGAUCUCAUCCGGACCGUCCCCCCGUAGCAAGAACUGACUAUCCGGCUACGUGGUAAAAAUAAGUCUAGUAAGCCAGAAAUGGCCGGCGUGACCUUGUAAGGUCGUUAAAAGCCAAGAAGAGAGAAAGAGACUAUAGGAUUUGGUAAAUUGAGGCGACUUUUGUUUAAACUAUCAAAAGCUUUGAAAAUUAAUAAAAAAUAUGCAGUUGGAAAUGAAAUGAAUCUUGCCUCAUGCCGAAUGAUGGUAGAACGAAGCAUUAAACGUCGAAAUUGUCCAAGUAUUGAAAUUAUGAGAUAUGCAAGUAAUCAAAAUAUUGAACGUGACAAAGAAAAAUGAAGAUCAAGAACUGACGUGACCAAAAAGAGUAACGUUUUCUUCUGGAAUAAAUCGGUAAGACUAGGUAAACAGGCAGAUUGUAUAAGAUAGAUCGAGAUCGAGAUUCAUUUUCGAACACGUAUCAAAGCAAGAGAAAGAUGUACCUUGAAGAGGUGCAACAUUCCAAUAGCUCAGAAAUUGCCUGAGGCUAUAUCCAAAGAGCACACACCCGAAAGGCGCCACCCAAGAAACCCCUCCAGAUGUACAUUGGUCUGUACAAUGGCAUAUUGCAAUGGUAUGAGUGAACAGACCCCAAGUACAGACGGACCACCUAUCGUUCAGCAACCUUUCGUUAUGCUCUGGUUGAUUUGUAACCUGGCAGACAAACGUUUUAACGGGAAUUCGGAAAUUUGGACGAAGUGGUGGAAUAAAUGUUCGACUGUUCACAACGAACCAACCAACCAAGGGGCUGAUUGGUCAACAGCUGCCGCGGCGGCUAUCAACCAAGUAAGAAGCGCGCAACUUACCAAAAGAAGGACAGAUAAUUGUGUUGAAUGGGUUAUCACUGAUUUCGACAAUCCUCUUGAUGGACAAAGCUGUGUUCUUGUGUAUUUCCUUCCUUUCCUUCCCAAAAAAAAUCAUCCCUUGUCAUGGUUGUUUGCGCCAUCAUUAUCAACGUUAUCAUCAGAUUUACGGAGGUCAAUGUGUAGGGGCGCUGACUGCUGGAAUUUCGAUCCCCGCUUGCAUGGAGGAGAACCGUGCACAAGAAAGAUUAGCGUCCCUCCAUAUUACCACCAUAACACCUGCGGGGAAUAUAACAGAAACUCAUUCAUAAAAGUCUUCGAACGACGCUGGUGCUAGUUGGAAGCUAGUUCGAGUUGAUUAUAUUGAUCGCCGGAUCCUUACAGUAACGUGGUUUGCAGUAUCGGGCACUAGCAACAGAGGCAUGGAAACUUGAAUGUUAUUGAAAGGGGUAGGAAAAAGAGAGGUUAAAAGUGGGCGCCCCGUCAGGGCGAUAUUGGAAAAGAAAGUUGCUUCGCCGUUGUCCGUCUUGCUCUGGGACAUGCAAACAGACAAACAGAAAUUAUGCCUCCCUCUUCUCCGUAUGUCUAAUGGUUAGGAAAGGCGAUAGCCGUAAGGCAGUUUUAGUUUAUUUAGAGCGGGAUAGUGUUCACGCAUGGCAGGCUGAGGCCGGAUGUUUACUCUACGGUGGUGGUCGAUGCAGUGAAGUAAAGGGCACCGUAGGGAAAGUCGACGCAAAAAAUAGAAACAACAUCUGUAAGUAGUCCAUAGUCCGGUUCAAGUCGUGACACUCGGGUCCGUAGUCCGAUCGUGAGUUAAAACCAAGUUGUAAAUGGAGAGUGGACACUGGACAGCGCGGGUAUGCAUGUGUAGCGCGAAGGGGCUUCAGGCCACAAGUAAUUCCCUUCGCUUUCUGCAUGUGCGUUCAUUCACAGAUUUUUGUUCCAAUUUAAAGACUAGGCGGCAUGCGGAAGAGUGGAGAGAAAGAGGAGUUAGCUGAUUAUCUGAAGUAUGCGAGCAUAGGGGCCCAUUGCUGAGGUCGAAAGCCAAAUGGUACAUGGAUCACAGCUAUGUGUGCAUUCCUUUGCGUUGUUCCUAAACAGGACGUGUGUUUUGCAAUGGAAUUUGUAUAAUCGUUUUUUCCUAUUUAUUAGCUGGAUUGGCAUCAUCACCUAUUAAACAUAUUUUUUGUUCGUUUCUUUUCAAUUUCUUUCAUUUGAAUGCUUUGUUGAUAGUGCUGAAGCGUGAACUCCAUGUGGUGUGUAUUUUUUUUACUUACGAAAAUCGUACAUAUGCGUUAAGUAUAUGCCAUAUCCGGUCCAUAUGUUGUAAAAACAUGUGAAGAAGAAUACAUCGUGUGCUUUAUUUAGAUGAGUUUAAACCCUGUUGGACUGCCGCUACUAUGAAUAUGAUAGUACUACUGAAAGCCAUAAGGUACGCACAAACGCAUUUGUCGCCAGUGAUCGAAAAUUCCUGCUUCGCGGCUUAUACCCUUAAUCAUAAUUUUAACACAUUUUUAACGAGAACAGCCCCAGUUCCCAGUACAGUGAAAAAAGGGUUUUUUUGUCAGAGUAAAGAGGUAGAGAGCACUACUGGGCUCCAUAAAAGCAUAAAUCAACGAUAAUUGUUCGUCGAUUACAUUUUAAUUUACACAUCACCAUGGUCUCUCACGCAGACGUGCACAUAAUACGAGCGCGCACAGUCCGGCGCAGCUCGAAUGGAACCGAAUUUUUGUGCGUCCUCGGCAAAAAAGAAGGGAAUCGAAGAAAGAGCAGAUAACCGUCCGCCGCCGCCGCCGCCGCCGCCCUGUUUCGAUCCGGAGCGCGCAUGUGUGUACGGCUAAAUAUCAUUCGCGUCCGGAUUGUUCCUACAUUUACCUUUCGUACAGAUGAUAUGAAAGAAAGGACCCUUCGAGAAACGCGCGGAAUCAGUUUGUACUACAAUGUGUUCGGUUCAUGGUUUUAAUUUCUGUACCAGACGGUGGCGCACUAAUUAAUGGUUCAAUUUGUAGCGCACAGUUGUUGUUGUGUGCGGUCAGUCACUGUGACUUGUGUUUUAUAAUAUUGUAUUUGCUUAUUUAUGUGCGCUGCUAUCGGAUACGUUCGUUCAGCUAAUUUUUCUUUUCUUCUUUCAGCUGCUAAAUCUAAUCAAGGAAUUUCUUACCCACCCUCAAAUGGAGAGCAGCACCCAGCCACCACCACCAGAGCAGAGUUCCAGCGCACCGUUGACUAUGCUUAUGCUCCAAACACAAGGCAGGGAGGCGAAUUUCUUCAUCAAUUAGCCUGUCAGCUACGGCAACUAUGCGCUGGCGUGUGGAGUUUGAACGCAUUCCAUUCGCGCGGCCACACAUGGGGAAGAUGAUGGUACCGGUCGGUUUCCCGACCCCCGACCCUGUACUCAACCUUGCAACCGUGGUUGCUCAAGCACGUCAAACUUUUUUUGUUGUUAAGGUAUCUUUGAACUUUUCUGUGCGUUUUUUUUCGCGUGCAAAAAUGGCCCUCCAAAUCGAUUUGCAGUUCGUCGACCGUUUGCGUUCCAUUACCGACAGAGAGUGGCGAAAGGGCAUUGUGGGUGCGUGUGACAGCGAGAUAAAACCAGUCGUCGGUCCAGUCGGUGGUGUUCGAUUCCUUCCUUGCGGCAGGUAGCUUUCUUUUGGAAUCUUUUCUUCUCAUCUGCAGGACCAUCAAAAAUUUCGGUGCAUAAGUGGUACAAUGAGACGAUUGCAGCAGCAGGGGUAGGCUGAGCAACUCCCGAGGACAUAGCCGGUAUCUGUCGGACCGCCGUGAUUGAAGUGAUCAUCUCAAAGUGAAGAAACCCGCGAUAUUUUGGUUAUACGGUGUGCUUUUUGUGCUUUUCGACGCACGGAGGAGAUCGCGUUUCGGUUCAGGUCGCAGUCGCGCGCACGUUUUGGGGUCGGAAUGGGGAAUGAAAUGUAAUCACAGAA
Molecule: long non-coding RNA, 7222 nt
Organism: Anopheles funestus (African malaria mosquito)
Lineage: Eukaryota; Metazoa; Arthropoda; Insecta; Diptera; Culicidae
Exons: 2
Source: RefSeq, a predicted model, not a curated record